UGGACGCCGUCACCGCCGUCGUCUGCGUCACAGCGUCGUUGGCCACCGUCUGGUGCGUGUCUGAGGCCUACCUGCGAUACGUGUGCUCCAAACGCGUCGUCGAAGGAAUGUUACCCUCCAACGUGCCUCACUCGGUGCAGACCGGCUCUUACGGAACCUUGACCGACGCUUGCCAUGAGAUGACUCCGUCGUACCGCGAUGACCGGACCAUAAGCGUCGAUGGAUCGCCCGAAGUCGUGCUGAUCAUAGAAGACUCGAAACCCCCACCGUACGACCAGUGCAUCAUGCAAGAGUCUGAACCGCCGCCUUACGUGGAAUCCCUGCCGGGAGAGUGAACGGCGAGACUCAAGCGCGGGAACACUUGAUCACUGAUUUGCCUAAUAUAAGGCAUUAUCCGAGCAUGCCACUGUGACGCGGACGAACGUCCGGAGUUGAGGCUAGACUUCGCGAAGUCAGAAAUGACGUAACAGUGCCGUCACUUCCCCUCUCUUGCUUGCGCGCGCGCCUUGUAAGCGAAGCGGCGUCACCGUAUGACUGUCAUGUUCCAAACCCACGCCAUCGCCGUUUUCGCGCUAACGCGGGGCGUGUGUCGGAUCGUAAGUGCAAACUGUUACCGUGGCACUAUUUUGCAUAUAGGCCCAGCUACAAUCGCUCAAGUGCGUGCUAUUUUUUUUAAAGCGUCUUAACUCUUCACAUCGAAGCCCACAGCCAUGACGCCGUGCUGCUGAACUAAUAAAAGCUGCGAAUGAAUUAUAACGCAUGUGACUGCAGUUACGCCUAUUGCUGCCUAUUGCAGUUACGCAGUGUUUCACGAAAAAUCCAUCGCCACGAGUUAGGGACUGUAAGUGCAGAUACUAUAUAUACUCGAUUAGGUUUCCUUCACUAAACCAAACUGCUGUACGUAGGCUGUAAUGGUGAUGUUUUACUCAAAGUUAGCGUGCCUCUUGGACGUACACUACAACACUCAUACGUACAAUAGUACGAUACGUACAAUACGUACGAUGCCGCACAGUAGGCAACACUCAUUUUUAAGGGUGGUUUUUGUGCGCAUGACAACCGCCAACUGAGUCCCAAGUUGAACUAUGUUGGGGGCUGUGUCUAUAUAUGGAUACCCGCCGCCAACUUAGUUACUAUUAUUAUUAUUUUUUUUUUUUUUUUGCAGGUGCAAACGAUUCCCAACUUCAUUUAUUUCGUAAGCGACCGAUAAGUGCCAGAACGUGUUAAGAGCUUUUGUUGGAAAUGAAAGUUCCAUGAUUUGCAGUGAUAAAAUUGAACACGCUGUGCAAGAUUUAAAUAGCGAUUCCAACUUUAAAUCGGCACAGAAGGUCGUGAAAAACGGUAUGUUGCGGCAACCUACGGUGAAACUGGUAUGCUAUAGUGUUGUGUCUACCACCCCUUGUAAUGCUUGUGGUCAUGCAAGGAAAGCUUGGCUUGCGCUGCCUUAGAGGCAACGAGUAGAACGGCAGAGCCAUGGCGUAGUACGUCUCCGAGUUCGUGGAAUUCGCGCAUGCACGUGUAUGUUUUUCUACGCAUGUGAGCAUGGAGGAAUGAAAUAAAUCGGGAAGGAGCUUCCCAUCAAGCAGCCAACCUUCACAAGCCAGCUCUUCAUCAAGCCAUUCCCCUUCGCCUUUUCUCGCUCAAGCAGUCGGCCCAACGCGUCACCCUGCGCCCAACGAAGUCGGCACCGUGCAAACAUGCUUGUUUCCCGUUAGGUUUCAAUCGAUGCGCACUUGCUCUGGUGCUUUUCUAACCCCUAUGGCUGUCUUCCAAUACUCGCCGUGAACGACAAAGUAGACGUCUAAGCUGGCAGAGCUCAUCGUAAGUCUUGCUCCAAUUCUGACGAAGACUUCGAAGAAGGCGGCUUCGCGAAGGCAGCGUGGAAGUCGAAAACGGUGCAGGUUAUUUUCCCAUCUAAACAAGAUGGUGGCUCAGCAGGACGCUUGGAAACUCGACGGGAAAGGUCGUGUGCGCACAAGAAAUCAUAUGUAAUCAAGCUUACAUAUACGCCUGAUGUAAUUCACGUCGUGUUUUAUAUAGCUUCGUGCGCGCGCAAAUAGUUGCAAAUACGCAAAUAUGUGCGUUGUAUGGCUUCUUUUUUUCUUUCUUUUUUUCGUCGACGCGAGGUAGCGCCACGUCGAAGAGGCGCCUUCCCAUUGUCUUCGAGACGGUUCCAGACAGACGCGUUCCAUUACUGGGGCACGAAGCUGUCUCCUUAGCUGCCUACGUCUCCAGUGCUGGCCAGAAGUGGAACACAACCUAUGUGCACUUUUCUCCCGAUAAGUUUGCGCAACCUCAGUCGUUUGUAUUGACGUAUACGUUUAUCCCCUCCGCUGCAACGUGUGAAACCGCAAGUUGCUGUGGCACCCGUUCUUUUUUCGUAAGUGCCAGCGCUGAGCGCGGCUGGCGCAACAGUGGAAUACACUAAAGACACUGAUCCAGGGAAAACACGGAGAAUGCGUGAGAUGGAAAUUCAAGACCAUGAGCAAAACGAGAACAAGCUGAAAGCCGGAGCUAAUGUUUCAACAAGUAGACUUGUCUUUUUCAAGGCAUGUCAUCAAGGCAUGUCAUCAAAGACACGAUGACACUGCGAUUACACUGAUGACAUUUAGAAGACGUUGAUAAAGGGUGGCAGCAGCGGCAAGCUAGCGAAAGCUUCGUGUUGAUUCUCGCUUCAAGACGUCUCCGAAACUUGAUUACGCAAGCUCCAACACUAGGCUCGUGAGAUUAUCGCGUGGUUUUGUCGUGACGUCAUGACGUCAUCAUUACGUGGGAGCGACUCUUUGGCGCUCACAUCCUUUUCUGAUUUUCAUUGCGAGGCCGGCUGCAGCAUAGCAGACGACUACGCGAGCUGCAGCGAGUAUCAACACGUCGAGAUGUUCUACUACCAUGUGACUACCUUUUGCGUCGUGACGUCACAAUUGUGAUCUGCGAAACGAAACCGAGACUGUCUCUAGAAAUCUAUUAUAUUAAACAUUUUGGAGCUCUAGGUUGCCGAGAUUUUUAACACGAAAGUGUUCUCUGCCGAUCUCCAGCGAAAGUCUGUCCAUUUACGUCAAUCAUCAUUCAGCUAAUUUCCUGGCAUUAUCGCGAGAUGGCGCUACAUUGCCAAUUUGUGUAAUUAGGUUGGUGCGGCAUUUAUCCAUCCAUCGUGCAGUGUCCUUGUACAAGAUCUUAAAGUACAGUGUACCCAAAGGGGGCAGAGUUGCGCUUAGUAUAGCGCCCCUCCAUACACUAGGUCAUUCCACGCGCAACGUCCCAGACCCCAAAAGAGACCAUAUCCGAUUCCCUUGAAAAAACUUGGGACUAGUUGGUAAAUAGAACUGCGAGCAUUUCUUCCAAGAAACAUAAUUUUAGUCUUCCUUUGGUGUCUCUUCGAUGCAGAAUUGCACGUCAAGCACUAUUUCAUGAUUUAUCAUCAUCCUACACUCCACACGCAAUUCUUUACAAGACCCCAUUAUGUAUCACAGCGUGUUGAUCACUGUCAUAAAGUUGGCACCUAUCUCUGCCACACAAAGCAUUUUUCCCAGUCUUUUUUCCCUCGCACAUGUAUAGAUUGGAACCACCUUCCCGCUGAUGUCGUAACUACUACUGAUAAGAGCCUUUUUCUUGAAACUUUAGCUAACAUUGUAUAACUAGGAAUUUCUUUUUUCUGACACAGCAGCUAACAUUGUAUAGAAAGAAACCUCUUGUAUUCUAGCAUUGUGUUUUGUUCAUAUUAAUCGCUGCGUUUUGUCUACUUCCGUUGUACCACAUGUUCUUUUGUACCUGCCUGUAAUGCCUCUGGCCCUGAGAGUAUGAUAAAUAAUAAAAAAUUAAUCGUGUGAACAAGGUUUCACGAAACUAUUUCUCACGAAAAAAAAAAUUGGUGACGUACGCGUUCUUUGGAAUUUUCGCAAAGAAGCAAAAGUUGGUUGGAGGCAAAUGUUUUAAUCAAGUGUGGAACUAGGUACAAUGUCAAAUCGUAUUUAGAAUAUUCUACUGGCGUGGUUCUUUCAUGUGACGUCGUACGCGCUUUGAAAAAGACAAGCCCACUUCUCGAAACGUUGGCUCCUGCUUUUACCAUGUUCUCGUUUUGCUGAUCGUCUUGAAUUGGCCCCGUAAAAAAAAAAAAAUAUUGUGCGUCUCCAGAUUUAUUGCAUAAAAAUAUUUUGUUCCAGCCAUAAUACUUUCUUACUAUAUUUUCCCGUCGCUAUAGUUUCUGUUAGAAAUGAUGUUCUACUAUGAAAUCAAAUACUUUUCCCCAAAAUUACUUCCGAGUUGUCAAAUAGUCACUUUCUGAUUAUAUGUUCAGACCUAAGCUAAACAUUAAGGCCUUCCAGAUAAAAAAAUAUGCGUUUGAUAGCUCAAUAUUUGCACCAGCCUUUCAGCUUGUGAUUUAGAAAUUCUGAUUCGAGUAAAUUUUGUUUUAAGCAAGAAAAAUAUUGAAGUUCACAACCAAUUUGACGGAGAUUUCCUCCAUUCACCUGGGCCAGUGUUUUCGUGACUACACCAAAUCUUUCCUCGCGGAUCGCAAGACACACCUCCGACUAGGCACGGUCUCGGGAGGACCCUACGAGCCAGGCACCUGCGGCAGCCCGCAUGGUUCAGUCCUCUCCCCUCUCUUAUUCAACACAGCCAGCUCUCCACUCGCCUCGCCGAAAUCCCGAACGUGGGUCACGCCAUUUAUGCGGACAUCACGAUCUGGGCGCCUGGCGGAUCGCUAGUCAUGCUCGAACACUCGUAACAAAGCGCGUUGGAAGCUACGGAAGACUAUUUCAAGCAUGGCCCUUGAAUACACAUAGGGAAAUUCUGCAUAACCCAAAUACCCUGUCCAAAUCUUAUCACCUAUCAUCUUAUCACAAUAUCCCCUUACGCAUAACAGACUUAGAACACCUAUGUUUAGAACCAAAUGGGGUAUUCAGGCACUCGCCCUACCUAGUACCUCAUUUCCUAAAUAAUAAUCGAGAAAUCGCUACUAUGAUUCAGGAAUGCAGGUCUGCUUACAGUCUAAAGAAAAAGGUUAGGAAUUAUCUUUUGCUAAGCUCCUAGUGAUACUUAAAUGUCCUUGCGGUCUCGAUAACUCUUUUAGUCGUUUUUUCUCUUACAUUUUUUAUCCUACUUGCUAUAUAAUGUUUUGUAACACCGAUCAUUAUUAUUAGUAUUAUUUGCUUGUUUAAAUAUUUCCUUGUUCUCGCGCAUUACUGAUGAUAUAUUAUGUGUAAAGUGUAAAAUCUUACUUCUUUCUAUACUUGAUUGCUUGCCGCACACAUUUUGUUCCUUUUCUUGUUUCUACAUUGUUGCACUGUAUUUUCAUGAUGUUCCACCCCCUGAGCAAUGUACGGGUAGGGGGGCCUUUGUCAGGCAGUUGCAUCUGCCUUUAGCCCUUACAUCCAAAAAAAUGUAUUCUCUAAAUACAUUUUUAUCGCCACCCAUACAAGCGAGGAUGCCAUAGUGGUCUUCACCGACUCUCAAACAGCGGCACGCAACUACAUGAAAGGCAGGGUCUCCACCAAAGCGAUCAACUUACUGAAACGUGGCGAUACUCCUCCCCCCUACACCUGCAUCAUGUGGGUUCCGGGACACGAGGGACUCGAGGGGAAUGAAGCGGCACACACCGCGGCCCGCGCAAGCGUCAACCGGGCUUCCCCGCACGGUAUUCGAGAAAGGUCCCACCCACACAAAUCAGCGGAGGAAACGGAAACAAUACCGUUAACUUACCAAGCACUACUACAACACUAUCGGCUUGGACGCAGGGUGUACCCUCCACCACAUCCCAAACUAACAAGAAACGAAGGCACCGACUACAGGCGACUCCAGAGCAAUACAUUUACCCACGGAAUCUUGCUGCAUCACUUCCACCCGACGCUAUACAGCUACACCUGUCCACACUGCAACGUGCCUGACACCCUGGCGCACCUCCUCCUGCAAUGCAAGAUCACCCGAGAAAGCAUCACAGCGACACAACUAAUAGCAGCAGACGCAGAUCCAAACCACCUCGCUGAAACGUGGGAGGCUGCGAUCUCCAAGCCGGACCUGGUCGACCAGCGCGAACUAGUCGCCCGGGCCCGGAGGGCGAUCCAAGCCAGAGGGCUCCUGGAAUAAGGGACCCUCCCACGUCGACUGACAAAUCACUACUUCAAAUAAAAGUUUCAUUCUCUCUC
This is a non-coding RNA of Dermacentor andersoni, 6140 nucleotides long. Lineage: Eukaryota; Metazoa; Arthropoda; Arachnida; Ixodida; Ixodidae. The record is from RefSeq and is a predicted model, not a curated record.